AUAUGCAAUAUGUUUUGCCACAAUCCACUUAAGGAGCUAAGAUCAACUAUAAAUUGGAACUACAUGUAUAUGCUUUAGUGCUGUCAAAAUCCUUUAAAAAAAAUCCAAUCAAAAGGACCUACUUCACCUACCUGUCCCAAUGAUGAAUACAGAUCAUAUAUAUAUAUAUAUUGAGUCUUAUAAAAAAAACAGUGAAGGAGAAUAAAAAUAAUGAAAAUAUAGAGCUGAUCAGCUAAUGAUUGUACAUGUACAUGAUGUAUAAAUGGCAACAAUUCUUACAUGUAUACUAGUACAUUGAAAUUAACAAUAUUAAUAAAUGUUUUAUAAAUUUGAUCUCAUAGACAUUAGAGGAAUAAAAUCAAUCACGUUUCAAAAAUUUGAUUUAGUUGAGCCUUUUUUUUACGCCUGUUUUCAGGACAUAUUAUGGUAUACCAUUGACUGUCCGUCGUCAACAUGUCGGACAUAUACUCAAAAAUAAUAAAUACUAAAAGGUACAUGUAGUAGAUAAACUAUUUGCGUGCAAUAAUUUACAAUUCUGUCUGGCAAUUGUCAUUGACCACAUAAUCAUUUGUAUGGUUCAUUGGUCAACAGUAAGUCCUCUUUUAAUAUGCUAUAUUGUGUAAUCAAUAGGUCAUCUUCAUGUAUAUUUGGUGUAUGAAAUGAUUAUUAAAUGUAUUAUAACAAAUUAAAAUAUCAAAUAAGAGGAUGUGAUAUGAUUGUAAAUGAGACACAAGAGACCAAAUAACACAGAAAUAACUAUACAUGUAGGUCACCAUAUGGACUUCAACAAUGAGUAAAACCUAUUCUGCAUA
RNAcentral lists this long non-coding RNA (812 nucleotides) under Mytilus galloprovincialis (Mediterranean mussel). The record is from RNAcentral. Lineage: Eukaryota; Metazoa; Mollusca; Bivalvia; Mytilida; Mytilidae.